GACGAACGCUGGCGGCGUGCUUAACACAUGCAAGUCGAACGGAAAGGCCCUGCUUUUGUGGGGUGCUCGAGUGGCGAACGGGUGAGUAACACGUGAGUAACCUGCCCUUGACUUUGGGAUAACUUCAGGAAACUGGGGCUAAUACCGGAUAGGAGCUCCUGCUGCAUGGGGGGGGUUGGAAAGUUUCGGCGGUUGGGGAUGGACUCGCGGCUUAUCAGCUUGUUGGUGGGGUAGUGGCUUACCAAGGCUUUGACGGGUAGCCGGCCUGAGAGGGUGACCGGCCACAUUGGGACUGAGAUACGGCCCAGAGUCCUACGGGAGGCAGCAGUGGGGAAUAUUGCACAAUGGGCGGAAGCCUGAUGCAGCAACGCCGCGUGCGGGAUGACGGCCUUCGGGUUGUAAACCGCUUUCGCCUGUGACGAAGCGUGAGUGACGGUAAUGGGUAAAGAAGCACCGGCUAACUACGUG
Molecule: ribosomal RNA, 468 nt
Filed under: uncultured bacterium
Lineage: Bacteria
Description: partial 16S ribosomal RNA
Rfam family: Bacterial small subunit ribosomal RNA
Source: RNAcentral